RNAcentral lists this transfer RNA (74 nucleotides) under Candidatus Rhabdochlamydia oedothoracis. RNAcentral describes it as "tRNA-His". It matches the Rfam family "tRNA". Rfam says of the family: Transfer RNA (tRNA) molecules are approximately 80 nucleotides in length. Their secondary structure includes four short double-helical elements and three loops (D, anti-codon, and T loops). Further hydrogen bonds mediate the characteristic L-shaped molecular structure. tRNAs have two regions of fundamental functional importance: the anti-codon, which is responsible for specific mRNA codon recognition, and the 3' end, to which the tRNAs corresponding amino acid is attached (by aminoacyl-tRNA synthetases). tRNAs cope with the degeneracy of the genetic code in two manners: having more than one tRNA (with a specific anti-codon) for a particular amino acid; and 'wobble' base-pairing, i.e. permitting non-standard base-pairing at the 3rd anti-codon position. The record is from RNAcentral. Lineage: Bacteria; Pseudomonadati; Chlamydiota; Chlamydiia; Parachlamydiales; Candidatus Rhabdochlamydiaceae.
GCGGUCGUAGCUCAGCUGGUUAGAGCACUGGAUUGUGGUUCCAGAUGUCGCGGGUUCGAGCCCCGUCGAUCGCC